RNAcentral lists this ribosomal RNA (1278 nucleotides) under human oral metagenome. Its description in RNAcentral is "bacterial LSU rRNA". It matches the Rfam family "Bacterial large subunit ribosomal RNA", at positions 1702 to 2925 of the family's 2925-position model. The record is from RNAcentral.
UGGUUAAGGAACUCGGCAAAAUGCCCCCGUAACUUCGGGAGAAGGGGGGCCUGAGCUUUGAAGCCCCUUCGCGGGCUAGGAGCAAGGGUCGCAGAGAACAGGGGGGAGCGACUGUUUACUAAAAACACAGGUCCGUGCGAAGCCGUAAGGCGAUGUAUACGGACUGACGCCUGCCCGGUGCUGGAAGGUUAAGAGGAACCAUCAACCCUUUGGGUGAAGUGGUGAAUUUAAGCCCCAGUAAACGGCGGUGGUAACUAUAACCAUCCUAAGGUAGCGAAAUUCCUUGUCGGGUAAGUUCCGACCUGCACGAAUGGCGUAACGACUUCCCCGCUGUCUCAACCAUGAGCUCGGCGAAAUUGCAGUACGAGUAAAGAUGCUCGUUUCGCGCAGAAGGACGGAAAGACCCCGGGACCUUUACUAUAGCUUGGUAUUGGCGCCCGCUAUAGCUUGUGCAGGAUAGGUGGGAGACUGUGAAGCCGUUACGCCAGUGGCGGUGGAGUCGUCCUUGAAAUACCACUCUGGUUAUGGCGUGCGCCUGAACCUGGGCCCGUGAUCCGGGUUAGGGACAGUGCCUGGUGGGUAGUUUAACUGGGGCGGUUGCCUCCUAAAGUGUAACGGAGGCGCUCAAAGGUUCCCUCAGCCUGGUCGGCAACCAGGUGUUGAGUGCAAGUGCACAAGGGAGCUUGACUGUGAGACCGACGGGUCGAGCAGGUACGAAAGUAGGAACUAGUGAUCCGGCGAUCCCGUGUGGGUGGGUCGUCGCUCAACGGAUAAAAGGUACCCCGGGGAUAACAGGCUGAUCCUGCCCAAGAGUCCAUAUCGACGGCAUGGUUUGGCACCUCGAUGUCGGCUCGUCGCAUCCUGGGGCUGGAGCAGGUCCCAAGGGUUGGGCUGUUCGCCCAUUAAAGCGGUACGCGAGCUGGGUUUAGAACGUCGUGAGACAGUUCGGUCCCUAUCCUCUGCGCGCGCAGGAGACUUGAGAAGGCCUGUCCCUAGUACGAGAGGACCGGGACGGACGAACCUCUGGUAUGCCAGUUGUUCCGCCAGGAGCACGGCUGGUUAGCUACGUCCGGACAUGGAUAACCGCUGAAAGCAUCUAAGCGGGAAACCAUCUUCAAGACCAGGUCUCCACCACCCCCUCCUUUCUUUUUCGCUAUAGUGAAUAGAGGGGAGGGAUGGGAAGGCCCCCAGAUGAUGACUGGGUUGAUAGGCCGGAGGUGGACACCCAGUAACGGGCACCAAGCCGACCGGUACUAACACGGCCGAUCACACACAAGA